RNAcentral lists this ribosomal RNA (572 nucleotides) under uncultured bacterium. RNAcentral describes it as "bacterial SSU rRNA". It matches the Rfam family "Bacterial small subunit ribosomal RNA", at positions 338 to 908 of the family's 1533-position model. The record is from RNAcentral.
CCUACGGGAGGCAGCAGUGGGGAAUUUUGGACAAUGGGCGCAAGCCUGAUCCAGCAAUGCCGCGUGAGUGAAGAAGGCCUUCGGGUUGUAAAGCUCUUUUGUCAGGGAAGAAACGGUGAGGGCUAAUACCUCUUGCUAAUGACGGUACCUGAAGAAUAAGCACCGGCUAACUACGUGCCAGCAGCCGCGGUAAUACGUAGGGUGCAAGCGUUAAUCGGAAUUACUGGGCGUAAAGCGUGCGCAGGCGGUUUUGUAAGUCUGUCGUGAAAUCCCCGGGCUCAACCUGGGAAUUGCGAUGGAGACUGCAAGGCUAGAAUCUGGCAGAGGGGGGUAGAAUUCCACGUGUAGCAGUGAAAUGCGUAGAGAUGUGGAGGAACACCGGAUGGCGAAGGCAGCCCCCUGGGUCAAGAUUGACGCUCAUGCACGAAAGCGUGGGGAGCAAACAGGAUUAGGAUACCCUGGUAGUCCACGCCCUAAACGAUGUCUACUAGUUGUCGGGUUUUAAUAACUUGUAACGCAGCUAACGCGUGAAGUAGACCGCCUGGGAGUACGUCGCAGAUAAACUAAUAGAG